UCCUGAUGGCUCAGAUGAUAAAGAAUCUGCCUGCAAUGCAGAAGACCUAGGUUUGAUCCCUGGGUCAGGAA
RNAcentral lists this transfer RNA (71 nucleotides) under Bos taurus (domestic cattle). It matches the Rfam family "tRNA". Rfam says of the family: Transfer RNA (tRNA) molecules are approximately 80 nucleotides in length. Their secondary structure includes four short double-helical elements and three loops (D, anti-codon, and T loops). Lineage: Eukaryota; Metazoa; Chordata; Mammalia; Artiodactyla; Bovidae. The record is from Rfam by way of RNAcentral. RNAcentral also lists the same sequence under 5 other names.